AGGCGUGCGGCGCCGGGGGGCUGGAGCUGGCCUCGCGCGCCUUUUCCUCUUUUGGGUCUGGGGGUCCACGUUGGCUUCCCCGGGCUUCUCUGCCUGUUAGACUUCUCUGUGCCCGCGAGGCCCGCGUCGCCCGCGUCGCCGACUCCACCGUAACGCAGGGAGCUUCCCCCGCCGGGCCAGCCACUCCCUCCUCCGGCGCCCCCGGCCGAGUUGGACCUUCGUCCCUUACCUUCGGCAGCCACGGCGGUCCUUUCCUGGUUAGGUUCUCAUCAGAACGUGUGACCCGGCGUGUGCUCGGAAAGUAAGGCCGCCACUUUUGCACGUCCCUCUCCCAACGUUUGGUGCCAGUGGCACAGCUCUUUAGUCAUGUUGGCUGCUAACCAGCUUCUCCACAUCAAGAGCAACUUUGGAAACCCCAAGCAUGUGAAGAGAAGCUGACCUAUACUUACUACAGUGAUAAUGACUAUGUGGUAGCGUAACCUGUCUUCGGGGUUUGGCUCGUUUUUCAGCUCUCAACCAUAGGACAUCCGAGGAGGAAGACCAGCAUUUCUCUGGGAAGACGCUUAACUUUCUUUUAAAUCUUCAAGGAUACCCGGAAUUGAUACAUCUGAGAAGGGGGCAAAGAAGCAGGCCGAAUAACAGUUUUAAAGGCACAGAUACUUGGAAAGGACAACUGGGGUGUAUGGCGGUAUGACUGAAGCAGAGUGUUUAGAGUAGAGAUCACUCAGUUGUUAAAGAUGUUACCCUUUUAUCCUGUUUUUUACAGUGUAGGUGAAGUUGAGCCUUUCAAGGCCCUGAUCAGGCGAUUCUGAUUCAUGCAAAUCUUUCACUUGCUCAUACCACUCACUGAGAACAGCGAGGUGUGGCGGAGCCUGUGCGCUCGCAGCCUGGCCGAGGAGGCUUUGGGCACGGACAUCCGCUGCAACCUGCCCAGCUACAAGGCCAAGG
Myotis lucifugus (little brown bat) is the source of this 948-nucleotide RNA transcript. It is a transcript of the gene named WD repeat domain 53, with no coding region annotated. NCBI's taxonomy places the organism in Eukaryota, Metazoa, Chordata, Mammalia, Chiroptera, Vespertilionidae. The transcript is spliced from 2 exons. The record is from RefSeq and is a predicted model, not a curated record.